RNAcentral lists this long non-coding RNA (1693 nucleotides) under Homo sapiens (human). Its description in RNAcentral is "non-protein coding lnc-CCNL2-3:1". The record is from RNAcentral. Lineage: Eukaryota; Metazoa; Chordata; Mammalia; Primates; Hominidae.
CGGCGCUGCGCGUGCGUUGUUGAGUGUUCGGGACGCCGGCCUGCAGGCGCCAUGGUCUUCCUCACCGCGCAGCUCUGGCUGCGGAAUCGCGUCACCGACCGCUACUUUCGGAUCCAGGAGGUGCUGAAGCACGCCAGGCACUUCCGGGGAAGGAAAAAUCGCUGCUACAGGUUGGCGGUCAGAACCGUGAUUCGAGCCUUUGUGAAAUGCACCAAAGCCCGAUACCUGAAGAAAAAGAACAUGAGGACCGUAAGCGUGGACCCGGGACACCCGCCGGCCAGCGCACUCGCGGCCCCUGCGUUUCUGCGCCGCGACCCAGCUAGUGUGCAGCCGCCCGGCCACCCUCAGCCCCUUCCUUUCAUACCUUGCUUCGAAACUCCGACAAAUUAUGUCGCCCCGCAGGCAAACUGUGGGACAUCCGUUCUCCCGCCCCGCCGCCACCCCCACUGUCACCCCCUGCUCCAGCCCCUCGCCCGGGCCACUGCAGAGCCGCCUUGACACUCUCCCUGCGUCGCCAGCCACCGCCCUAGUCGCUGCUGCUCUCAUCCCUCCGGUGGCUUCCCUUCCCUUUGGCAGCUGAAGUCAACCCAGCCCCUUGCCAACCCUCCAGGGCUACUAUCUGCUGCCGUGGUGCUCCUCGAAGAGACCACGCCUGCUGCCAAGCUCUGCCCACCCGGAACCCCCCGCAUUUCUGGGAGGCUGGCGCCUCCACUCUGUCCACGUGCCGCCUCAUUACUGCGCCUCACCACUCCCGUCUCAGCCUCAUGAACCUAGCAUCUAACGUACCCCGGUUUUUUUUUCUUACCCCGAGACGGAGUCUCGCGCUGUCACCCAGGCUGGAGUGCAAUGGCGCGAUCUAGGCUUAAUGCAACCUCGUCUCCCGGGUUCAAGCGAUUUUCCCGCCCCAGUCUCCCGAGUAACUGUGACUGCAGGUGUGCGCCACCAAGCUAUUUUUUGUAUUUUUAGUAGAGACCGGGUUCCGCCAUGUUGGUCAGGCUGGUCUCGAACUCCAGAUCUGAAAUGAUCUGCCUGCCUUGCCCUCCCAAAGUGCUGGGAUUACAGGCGUGAGACACCGUGCCCAGCUGGGUUUUUGCUGUUUUUAAUUUUGAAACAGGGUCUUGAUUUCGCUUAGGCCAGAGUGAUGGCACCAUCAUAGCUCACUGAUUUUGCUAUUUACUUUUAGAAAAAUAUUCUUUAGAUCAAUUAGAGGCUUUGCUGGGACAUAACAUCCAGAAGUCAUUUUUAAGUAUCUUCAUGUUUUCUUAUUUCAGCUCUGGAUUAAUCGAAUUACAGCUGCUAGCCAGGAACAUGGACUGAAGUAUCCAGCGCUCAUUGGGAAUUUAGUUAAGUGCCAGGUGGAGCUCAACAGGAAAGUCCUAGCGGAUCUGGCCAUCUACGAGCCAAAGACUUUCAAAUCUUUGGCUGCCUUGGCCAGUAGGAGGCGACACGAAGGAUUUGCUGCUGCCUUGGGGGAUGGGAAGGAACCUGAAGGCAUUUUUUCCAGAGUGGUGCAGUACCACUGAGGACUGUUGCUGUAUUGAUUAGGAAAAGAGACAGAGUAAUUUGCAGUUUGUUUGAUUUAUACUUUUGUUUAUCUACAACCCAAUAACAGACAUGAGGGAUGGCCCUGUCUCUCUGGGACAGAGCCUCACAGAUGAUGUCCAUGUUUUGUGUGAAUGAAACUCAAACACUC